UUCUUUCCACCUCGGCCGCUUUUAUUCCCUCUGCCACCAGUAUUACCUCGGCCUCUACCACGGAACCCGCCUCGACCACCUUUCACAACUCCUUGUUGGUUUUGCUGGCUGCCAGACAUAAACAAUAUGAUAUGAUAAGAUGAUAAAACCGAUGAUCUGCUCAUAUAAAUGCGAGCUCAAACUCUUUGACACUUACAUUGGAAGGUGUCUCCCAGAAGGACCUGAACCUCUUCCUCUUCCUACUCUCCCACCUCUAAUUCCUUGUCUGAAAGAAUCAGUGACUCGUCAAUACAUUCACUUCAGCGCAUAAACUCAAAUUAUUCUCUUGUAAAAAAACAGACCAAGAGAUGGCAACAUACCCAAUGAAAACACUCCUCUUCAUCCUUCCAUUCAAUCCAGUCACAUUAACACGAGCUGCAACAGGAGCAGCCUCAGCACUUCCACCCAAAAUCUCCAGUCUCAUAGGCCUUCCAUCCAAGAGUACAUUGUUGUAUUUCCUCAUAGCUUGUAAUGCAUCACUUCUUCUCAUAUACACAACUUCAGCCGAUCCCUGUAUGACACAGAACAUCAGAUACCAAAUAUUACAGCACCACGGUAAUGAGCGGAAUAAACCAUAGCAAAAAGGAAACAGAACUUACACUUGGACGCCCAUUUUUGUCAUAGUGAAUUGCAUAUCUUUUCAGCUCUCCAAUCUCAGUAUAGAGUUCCUAGAUUCCAUAAGGAUAUUACAAACUAACUUCAGAAAUCUCCACAGAACCAAAACAACAGAAGCACUGGAACAUAGAUGUUAGGCUAUACCCUUAUAUCUUCGUUUGUCACUCCCUGAUCAAGGUUGGUAAUAUAAACUGUGGUUCCGACUUCCACUCCCGAUACCCCAACAGCUCUCAGGCUUUCUUCAAGCAAAUCAUUCUGAUUCUGCCAUGGCAAGCUCCUCUUCCUGCGGGCAAGCUAGUCCAGUAGAACAGAUCAAGUCAGCGAAAAGGAUCUGUAGAAUCUUGAAGCCACGCAUUAAUCAACAAAUUUCUUUUAAGAUGAGAAACCACCAAUUUGCCUGAAAGUACUAAACCAGUCAAGGUAAAGAGCUCCAGGACGUAGUAGUAAAGAACCAUCGAAGGAGAAACCAAAUGAAAUGGGCGGAAACAUGCAAUUUUGACCAACUUCAUAUGAAUCACACUGGCGCUAUCAGUCAGUCUCUGAUGCCAAAAACAAAUUCCUUGUAGCAAGGAAAUAAAAAAACUGAGACUGCCAUCAAACUCCGAAGAAAUUCCAGAUGUAGCAAGAGGCCAAUCAUGAACUUCAUGCAUUGUGCAUAUACCCCCACGUAAAGAGAUAAACGAUCAAGGAUCAUAUUUACUAUUAAGUGAAAUUUCUGAACUUCCCCCCUAAACACCGCAAGACUGCACAUACUAGGCAGGCCUUUCCCCGUGUUGCUUAAAAGAACAACACCAGAUAACCCUAUGUGGACUACUUAGCUUACUGGAGCUCUUUAGUGACACUAUCAACAAAAACUUCUCCGCAUCUAUACAUGCCUGUUGAAGUCCCCAGAAAUUAAACCAUAUAAACGACUAAGUACACCGACACUGCAGGUCUAAGAGAAAUCGUCUCCAUAAACUACAAGAUGUUAGAAGAUCCUUGUAAUCUGUGUUUCAGGAAUGAUACAGUAUCCUUCCAGAAUCCAGACGAAGUUUUUGAGUGCUAAAAAAAUGUGUACGAGAGCAUCAAUCUUUUAAGUUCUAGCAUGAUUCCGAAACGCUUCGGUAUUUGGUGGCACAGAAACACAUAGAACAUCCCAGAUUAUGAGCUUGCCUUGUUUAUCGAGAAGGAGGAAGAUGGCCGAGCAUUAACAGCAAGAGGACCUCUACGAACAGGUCCACCUCCUCUUCCAGCUCCUACAACACCAUUAGGUCCACCACGUCCACGUCCACGGCGCGAAACUCCUUUACCUCCAGAUCUUGCAGCUGCAGACCUUGCAGACUUACUCUUCUUGACAAUUUCAUCAAGAGUCAUAUUCAAAGCGUCUGACAUCUUCAAUCCAAUAAAAUCAAACUGGCCUAUUUUGAUACCUGAACAAAUUAGGGUAAAGACAAUAACAAUUAGCCUCAAAUACACAAAUCAAGAACCUCACCGGAUUAAACGAUGAAUCACUGAUUAGUGGAACAUAUGAAUCAACGGAUUCCUAAAACCUAGAACACGAUUGUCAUAAACGAUACCGAGAAAACAAAAAAUCACUGCAAAGAAAUUGACGAAGACUCGUAAUCGCAUCUCAGAAACAUGGCUCAAAGCUCUAGAUCUAGAUUCGUAAUCGAGAAAGUGAAAAAUAAUCGAAAACAAUCGGAAAAAUUAUACGCGAAAUCAUCUAAAGAAGAUGAAUCAGGAAUCGAAACUUUACCAGAUUAGGGAAACAAGGCAGAUCGGAGAAGAUCGAGAGAUCGGCGUUUAGGGUUUUUGAGGAAGCUUUUGGGGAUUUUUUUCUUGUAACCUUUUUUCUUUGAGAAUUUGAUGAUGGAAGGGGAAAAAUAGCUUGUGAUUGUUAAUGGAGAGGAAAAGGAUUUUAUAUAUAGUUCUAGGUCAGCGGGGUAAAUUUGUAAAUUAACUUGAUUUAGGGGGCGUUUUGCAUCUUUUAUCAAAAUUAGACAAUUACCAAAAAAAAAAACAAAAGGAAAGAUUGCCAGCUAAUGCGUUUCCGCGUUUAGUUAAAAAUAGUUUAUAAGAUAAAGACUAUACUUUUCUAAAAUAUCAAAAAUGCCCCAGAAUGUUUUUUUAUUCUAAUCGAAGUUUGAUACUACUACAGUCGGGAAAACAGCCAAAAUCAACCUAUUCUAUUUGCAGGCAACAUUUUUUCAACCCGAAUUCUAAACGGCGUAGUUUAGUAUUCGUUAUUAAAACAAAGAACCAACAAUUGUUAAACGUCAUUGUUGUGUCCAGCCCAAAUGCCACGUGGUCGCCAAGGUGUCGCUGAUUCAGCAUAAAUUAACGGUCUCUUGACGCCGUCAAGAAAGAUGUUAAAAUUGGCUAAUAGUUACAGAGUGCGUUUGUAAUUUGAAUUUUUUUUAAGUUUGGAUUGAUAAAUACAGGGGUUUGAGUUCGGAUUGAAAAAUGCCGCUUGUAAAUAGUUUGGGUUGAUUUUGGCUGUUUUUUUAUAUUACCAUUAAUAUGCAAUUUAUAACAUAAGAAUUCCCAAUUUAAUAAACAAAUUGCGUUAUCGCUGAAACAUUAUGAAAAUGAGUUGGCCUUUAAAAAUUCCGGUUCUUGAAUUUUUUGUUUUUCCAAAAAAAAAUUCUCGAAAAUCAAUUUUUACAUAAUAUUUUGGUUUUUAUUUUUGAGAAUAAAUCGUUUUUGAUAAAUUAACUGUAAGACAUAAUUUGAGGAUUUUAUUAUCAAACACAUACGACACAGAAUUUGAAUUUCCCAAAUAAUGAGUGUAGUUCUCACCUGAUUUCUAGUGUUCCUUAAUCUCUCGGUUUCAAAACUCUUGAAAGUUGGUUCUAUUUACUUUUAUUCAAAGGUUAAUGAGUUUUUGAAAACCGUACUAUGAAAGAAGAUGUUGGUUAGUGCGAAUAAGGAGUGUGAUGGGGACCAUGGGGUUUACAUCUUUACAGGAGUUCUCGGCACACGAGCACAUAUCACAAUAUAUUCUGUUUCUAUAUAUACCAGGUUAUGAACCCGCGAUAUCGCGGAGAAACUCAUUUUCAACAAAUAUAUUUUAUUACGUUUAUGUAUUAAAUUAUUAUUAUAAUAUAUUCAAAUAAUUGAAUUAUUAUAUAAAAUUAACUAUGUCUUAAAGUUAUAUCGUAAAUAUUUUCUAAAGAUAUUAAAAAAAAAUAUGAAUAAAAAUGUAAAAAAAAAAUUAUGAUUAAAAACACUUUUGAAACAUUUUUUGUGACAAAAUAGCUAACGAAGAGUUAUAAUAUAGAGAGAAAACAUUCUAGCGGGUCAAAACCAAAAAAAAUAUAAAAACACAACCAGAAAAAUAACUGUCAACACAAAAAAUAACCGUCAAUAUUUUAACGAAGAGUUGCGAUAAAAAGACAUAACCGAGAAAAAAUAACCGUCGAUAUUUUAACGAAAAGUUGCGAUAAAAAACACAACCGAAAAAAAAUAACCGUCAAUAUUUUAACGAAAAGUUGCUAUAAAAAGACACAACAAAAAAAAUAAAUGUCAACAUUUUUACGAAAAGUUAUGAUAAAAAGACACAUCAGAAAAAAUAAUUGUCAACGAAAAAUGUAACCGUAAAUAUUUUAACGGAGAGUUGCGAUAAAAAGACACAACCGACAAAAAAUAACAGUCAAUAUUUAAACAAAAAAUUGCGAUAAAAAGACACAAACGGAAAAAAAUAACCGUCAAUAUUUUAACGAAGAGUUGCGAUAAAAAGACACAACCGAGAAAAAUAACCGUCAAUAUUUUAACGGAAAGUUGCGAUAGAAAGACACAACCGAGAAAAAGAAACCGACGAUAUUUUAACGGAAAGAUACGAUAAAAAGACAAAAACAAAAAAAGAAACUGUCAAUAUUUUAACUGAAAGUUACGAUAAAAAGACAUAACCAAAAAAAUAACCAUCAAUGAAAAAUUGUAACCGUAAAUAUUUUAACAAAGAGCUAAGACAAAAAGAUACAACCGAGAAAAAAUAACCGUUAAUAUUUUAACGAAAAGUUGCGAUAAAAAGACACAAACGAGAAAAGUAAUGUUAAUAUUUUAACGGAAAGUUGCGAUAAAAAGACACAACCAAAAAAAUAAUCGUCAACGAAAAAAAGAACCGUCAAUAUUUUAACGAAGAGUUGCGAUAAAAAGAUACAAACGAAUAAAGUAACAACCAAUAUUUUAUCGGAAAUUGCAAUAAAAAGACACAACCGAAAAAUAACAGUCAAUAUUUUAAUGAAGAGUUGCGAUAAAAAACAUACCCGAAAAAAUAACUGUUAAUAUUUUAACGGAAAGUUACGAUAAAGAGACACAACCGUUCAGAAGUGCAAAAUGCAUUUAUUGAGGUUGUUAUUUUGGUUAAUAAAGCCAAUUUGAUAUGUUGUCUAAUGGUUGAUGUAAAAAAACUUCGUAGUAUUACUAACUAUACAAAAAAUGCAAUGAAAUUAUAUAAUGAAAAGACGUAACUUUAAAUGAAUAAAUGCAACUAUAAAGAUAUAACUGUAAACUGAAAAGAUACGACUGUAAUUGAACAAAUAUAACCGUAAAUAAUUCAACGAAAAUUCAAUAAAAAAAAUAACCGAUUUAAACGAAAGGUUGCGAUAAAAAACGCAACCGUUCAGAUGUGCGAAUGGUAUUUAUUAGAUUGCUAUUAUAUAUAGAUUUUUGUCUUGCCGUUUAGGACAUCCUUUGAACAUGGUUUUCUCUAAUUUAUCGAGAUAUGUUGUUGAAAUGAAAGAUGCGGACCACUUGAUUAUUUGAGACUCCUACUGAUCUAUUGAAGUAGAAAAUGUAGUAUGAGAUAUUGUAUUGGAGUACACCACCGUUUGAUAGGCCACGAUCGAAUAAAUUGGAUGGUACGAUCGAACGCUAUAAAGUGCGUCUAGUUUGUCCUUCGUUAUCACUAAACAGAAGGAAAUGACUACAAAAAAAAAAAAUAACGUUGGGCCUGAUUGAAAACCAAUUUCUUGAAUUAGAUAUCGAAUAGGUUUACAUUUCAUAUUCCAAGUGACAAAAGAGAUAUCUCAACUUGCUGGUCGUCCUGUUUUAAAAUCUAAACUAUUUAACUUCACAUAAGGAUAAUGUUGUUAAAAUUAAAGCAAUUUUGAUCUUGUAAAAUAUGCUAGAGACUGAAGGAAAACAAAAUACUUUUAUUAUUAUUAACCAAGAUCUUCAUGAAUCAUGGUCCAAUCACAAACUAAAACAUAGAAAACAAACAUUGAACAUAAAACCAAAUCCUCAAAAUAUAACUUAAAGCUCAUCUCUCUUGAUCGCGGAUGGACGAACACCUUGAGCGAGGAAAUCUUUGUAAUACUUGGCUGAUUCUUUCUCAUAACGUGUGAGGUUAUUUUUGAAAUCGACGUAAUAGAGUCCGAAUCUAUUAUCCAAAGUUAUCCAACAAUGACCAUACAAAGUAUCCCGUAACUCUCACCAUCUUGCCAUUCAAAGUUAUCCAACAAUGACCAUACAAAGUAUCCCGUAACUCUCACCUUGUCGAUGCUGCGCAUACACAAAUUAAAUGUUCUUAGUUAGAUCAUUCAAUAGAAUUGUUAGUCUAUCAAAUAACAAAUAAUAAAAUGCUUACCAAAUAGCCUCGUUCAUAGCCAGAAGAUGCCUCUGAAGAUAAUAUUUCCUGUUAUGAUCAGCAGUACCAACCUCAACCGAAUCUUUGUCCCUUAGUUUGUCUCCAUAUCCUAGAAAAACAACAUUAAGAUCAAUAUAUAUUACUCUAAACCUAAAUAAACACACAAAUAUAACAAUAAAUCUCACGAGUUACCAUUUUCCAUAAUCAUAAUUUCCGGGUUUGCGUAUUUAUCCUUGAUGUACUUUAAAAGACUUCGAAAACCUUUAGCGUAGACGGGCAAUGCAGCAGUAAGAGGCUGAAAUAAAACAAUGGAGAAAUGUAUAUUAAUGUUUAGUUGUUACAACAAUCUCAAACUAGGACUAGUUUAAUUAAACGCUUAAUUAUCGCUUAAUUACCUGACUACCAAUGGCGCUGUGAUCGACAUUCUUAGCUGAAAAAAUAAAAGUGAAAAUGUAUACAUAUCAAUUAGUAGUUCAAAAGAGGAACAAACAUAUUUUCUUCUAGUUUCUUGGUUUGGUUUUCAUGUAAGGAAAAAAAAAACUUACGUUCCCAGGCAACAAGAGAAUCUUGCUUCCAACUUGGUGUAGACGGAUCAGGCUUCUCAUUAUGGUUUGAAAAUGUUGAAGUAUAGUAGUUAAGUCCUACGAAAUCGGUCGAAUCUUUCAAUUUUGCUUUUUGCGCAUUCGUAAAUUUAGGCAAUCUGUGGCCAAGAAGGUCUUUCAUGAUUUGUGGAUAAUCUCCAAAAGUAGUUGGGUCUAGAUGCCUACAAAUAAUAAUCAGAACUCCAUUAAUUAAAUUAAUGAAACUAUACUAUACGAGAACUCAUUGUCUAACAAAAUAUAUACUUACCAUCCCAACAUAAAGUCAAGUACACGGCCGACAGUUGGAGUGUCAUUUGAAUCUUUAAGGUCAUGUGGUUCGAACCAAGCCGGACUAUGUGCGAUUCCGAUUUUCCCACCUUUAACCUAUGUCCAUAAACACAACACAAAACAAACUAUUUUCAAAUCCGAAAGCUGAUAAUUAAUUGUGAUUUAUAUCAAAUGUAACUUACCUUUUGGCGGAAAACUUCAACAGCUUCUGCGUGAGCGUUGAGGAGGUUGUGACUGACUACAUAAGCCUCAUAACCGGAUCGUCCAUCUCGGUCUUCGCAACCUUUAACGUAACGAGAACAACGUCCUGGUGCCUUCUUGCCUACGUCGUAACCUGCAUGAGCGAAGACCCAUGGCUCGUUGAAAGUGAUCCAGUUUUUCACUUUUCCACCGUAUUCUGUGAAAACAAAAUCUGCAUAUUCCCGGAAAUCUUUUCUGUAUUUUUGCAAAAAAAAAAAGAUAUUAAGUUAAUAAAUUCUACUUGGACUGUCCGAGAAACUUAAUGUAUUUCGUUUAAUUUACAAAAACAUACACAAUGUUUUGGCUUAAGAAACCGCCAUAUUCGUCUUCUAAAUCUUGUGGAGUGUCCCAAUGAAAAACAGUCACGGAAGGAAGUAUGCCUGGUUACAAUGUAAAAUAGAAAGAAAUGUUAAAUAAUGAUACCUUUUUGCUUCUUUUUUUGUUAAGUAAUUAGUUUAUAUGUAUACUAACCAUUUUUUAGGAACUCAUCGAUGAGGUCAUGGUAGAAUUUCACACCAGAUUGACUCACUCCCUUCUCCUUUCUCCCAUCUAAUAAAACAUUAGUUGUUUCAUUAGUUAUUGAUAUUUCAACAAUCACAUAAAUCUAAAUUCACCAAAUUCAGAUUAUAAAUUAAACUAGAGAUCUUUAGCACAUAUAUAUACUCACGAGGAAAUAUUCUUGACCAUGAGAUUGAGAGUCUGAAUGCGUCUGUGUUUAGAUUCUUCAUUAGUUGAAUAUCUUCCUACAAACAUUUUUCAAGACGAGACAAAUUUUCAUUAACAUCUCCUAUAAAAUGGACAAGGCUAUAGAAACUUGAAUUAAAGUUACAUUAAUAAUAACGAUGGAAGAAAUCAACGGCCACAUCGGCGUUGUGGCCACUACAUCUCUCUGUAAUUUAAAAGUAAAGAAAAAGUGAAUGACUAUUCAUUGAUAUUAAUAAGUUAGUUUAAUUUAAUAUCUAAACAUAGAUUAUACGAGCACUCACCUGGAUUUCUCCUACAAAAGAUAUCCCAUAGAGCCGGUCCACGGCAAGUUUCAUUAAUUGCACCUUCAACCUAAUGACAUAACGAAAAUAGUUGAUGAGUUGAUGAAAUAUUCACAUGCACCAAUGAUCUUAGUUGAUAGGUUUUAUCACAUAUUUCGAGCAUGAAAACUUUUAUAUAAAAAUUCAUAUUUAGAUGGCUAAACAAUAUUAACGAUACUUUUUUUUUUUUUUUUUUUAAGCUAUGCUUUAGUAAAUAUGUUGUACCUGAAACGCAGCAGUAGCCGUGCCAAACAAAAAACCGUUAGGGAAACUUGCUCGGCUUAGUUUGGACGUAGUCGGGCAAACAGGAUCAUCGACGGCUAUUGUCGAAGAGACGACGAUGGUUAGGAGCAAAAGCAGCCCCAUGAGAGGAAACUUUUGCAAUGCCAUUUUGGUUUUAAUGUUUUGUCUUGUUGAAAAAAAUAAGUUUAUGGUGACUGUUAAUUUACAUCUAAAACGGAGUUCUUUAUAUAGAGAUUUUGAUUGUUUGGUAAUGAGUGACUAAACUAUAAUUGUUUAGUAAAAUUAUUUUUUAAAUAGAAUGAUUCAUUGCAUAAUCUCGAUCAUUGUGUUCUUGCUUUCUUUGAAACAUAUUAUAUUAUGCGUGGGAUGUAUAAUAUAAAAACGUGUCUUUAAAUAAAUAGUGUUAUGUCCAAAAAAUAAAGUUCUCAAUCUUUUGUUGCAUCUGCUUCUAAAUAAUAUGGCUCAAUUUUUACUGGCUAAGAUAAGUCUACUUCAAAACUCCGGCAGUAUAAAGUACGAUGAUCUCCUCAUACUUUGGUUUAUGCAUAACUGAUGACUUGAUGUAUAUAAUAAAGAAUUUUUUGAUGAAUAAAAUUUCAAAUUCAUUCCAAAAAAAAAAAUAUUAAGGCUCAAUUUUCUAUAUUCGAAUAGUAUCAUUCAACUCAUUUCUCUGUAAAUUAGUAGAUGAAUGAAUUUAAAAUUGAGCCUUAUAUUUCCUUUAUGAUUUGUACAUUUUUCUACUCUUUUUAGUUGAAUCAAUUAAAUUAUUUUUCCAACUUAUUCAGUUCAAGUGGUAAAAGAUUUUUUUUUUUUGGUAUGAAGUUCAAGUGGUAAAAGAUUAAUAAAUGUUCAUUCAACUCUUUCAGUUUUUUUUUUUUUUUUUUUAAAUUUAAAUCAACCAUUUUUAAUCCCAUAUAAAUUGUUUUGUAGUUCACAGUAGCUAAUCAAAGAUUAAACCUUAUUAUUAAAAGAACAGUAGCUAAUCAAAGGAUCUCUCAUCUAAUGUCUUCUUUUUGAUAUGCCAACCAGGCUUCGUUAAUCUUUUUUUUUUUUUUAAAUUUUGUAUUGUAUAGAUCCAGAUCGAGUUUUGGAUCGUAUCUUUUUUAUCCCACUAUGAUAUAAUACAAUUUUUUAAAUAGGAGGACUCAUUCCAUAUCGUUGCAUUAUUUUUUUGUUAUUCAAUAUAUAACCCACGUGUCUAAACUAUAAACUAAACUUUUAUAUGUUAGUUAUAAAAAUUUUAUAUGUUAGUUAAAAAUUUUAGUUAUAAAAAAAUCGACCCACGGUAUACUGCGGAGUAAAAUAUUCAAAAUUUUAAAAUCUACCAUACAUCAUUACUUAAAAAAUGUAUGUUUUCGAAUCUAUACUUCAAAAAUUGAAACCUAAACAAUAGUAUUCAUACACUAAAUAAUACAUAGAUAGAUAUUUACAUUUAGAAAUACAAAUUAAUAUGAUAUAUUUUCAGUUAAUCUUUUAAAAAAUAACAUUACAUUUUUUAAAAAAAUAAUAACCCCACGGUGUACCGCAGGUUAAAUUCUAGUUAUUAUAUAUUUUUUAAAGACUUCAUUAUAAGAGUAUCUUAGACAUAAAUGAGAUGAUUUUUGUCCAUUUUUAUAGAAACAAACAAAAAAAAUAACAAUUUUUUUUUGUGGAUGAAUUUUUUUUUAAAGUCCCACAAUUAACUAGAAAUAGAAUAGUUAGGAUUUAGCAGUUUUUAUUUUCUUAAAAAACCUCAACUUUUUUUGUUUUGGGCCUCAAAUAUUACCGGGUUGGCAUCGAGUAGGGGACACCAAUUCUUAUUAGAAUCAUAUAGUUAGUCACAUGUUGAUAAUACUUGUAGAUAAUAGCUUACGGUUAAGGGCUCUGGAAUGUCCGGUUUAACCACCUAAAUAAUCAUCUAAUUAAGGUGAUUUCAUUGGUUUAAUUCUGGUUUAGUUGGUUUGUUCACUAUACAUUGUUGUAACAACCUUUCUUGAUCAUUAAUGAGAAUCAGAGAUUUCACCAUGUUUCUCUCUCGAUCCAUGGUUACUAAUAUGGUAUCAGAGCAUUUUUUGCUUGCGUUUCUCUGAAUUUCAUCGAUUUCUCAUUGUUUUUCUUCAUCUUCUUCGUUUUUCACCGGCGGAUUGUUGCAUCGAUUCCAGAUUUGUGUCAAAUUUGAGCUUAAACGGAGCAGAAUCACCUUCUGAGCUUCUGAUUUAGCUUCUUAUCGCACAUUUGAGCUUCGAUUCACUCGUCAUGGGGAAACAAAAGAAGAAAACACCAAAUCGGAACAAAUCUCCGGUCUCGGAGUACUCUCCGAUGAAGACUCGAGCUGGAUCUUCGUAUCCAGUGGCCGAUGACAUCGUGGAUGCUCCUUCUCUUACUUACACGGCUGCGCGAGACAAGAUUCAAUCGAUUUCCGCAGAGAUUGACUCGUUUGCUAACGCGCAUAGUCCGUUCUUCCUUCACUCUUCUGAUCAUCCAGGUCUGUCUAUUGUCUCACACAUUCUUGAUGGAACAAAUUACAAUAACUGGUCAAUUGCUAUGAAGAUGAGUUUGGAUGCAAAGAAUAAGCUGAGUUUUGUUGAUGGAUCUCUUCCGCGACCUGAAAUUGAUAAUCGUAUGUUCAAGAUAUGGAGUAGGUGUAAUAGCAUGGUUAAAGCAUGGAUGUUGAAUGUAGUGAAUAAGGAAAUAUAUGAUAGUAUUCUAUACUAUGAGGAUGCUGCUGAGAUGUGGAAUGAUCUUUUUCUGAGGUUUCGUGUCAGUAAUCUUCCACGCAAGUAUCAGUUAGAACAAUCUAUUCAUACCUUGAAGCAAGGUAACUUGGAUUUGUCAACUUAUUACACCAAGAAGAAAACACUCUGGGAACAAUUGGCUAAUACUAGAGUUAUUUCGGUGAAGAAAUGUAACUGUGAUCAUGUUAAAGAAUUGAUUGAAGAAGCUGAAACUAGCAAGAUCAUACAGUUCCUUAUGGGCUUAAAUGAUAGUUUUGCUCAUAUCAGAGGACAAAUUCUAAAUAUGAAGCCAAGACCAUGUUUGACUGAGAUAUACAACAUGCUUGACCAAGAUGAGAGUCAGCGGAUUGUAGGAGGUUCUCAUACUUCUAUUCUCUCCAGUCCGGCUGCAGCAUUUCAGGUUCAAGCGUCACAAACAUCUGACCAGUCUCAUGUCAACUUGACUCAAGGUUCAUAUCAGAAGCCUAAAUGUUCCUACUGUCACAAGCUUGGUCAUACUGCUGACAAAUGUUACAAACAGCAUGGGUACCCUCCUGGAGCUAAGUGGAAGAAGGCUCAGACUAUUGGGACUACAAAUCUUGCUGCUGUGACACAACUCCCACCAGUGGUUGAUCAAUCUAGUGAAAAGAAAGAUUAUGAAGAGUUGUCAAAUGAUCAGAUACAGACUGUGAUUUCUUAUCUUAGCAACAAGCUUCAUACUACAUCAGUGGAACCUAUACAGACUCAGUCUUGUGCCUCGACUUCAACUUCUGUACCUGUGAUUUCUCAGAUUUCAGGUACCUUUCUGGCUUUAUACUCUAAUUCUUACUAUGACAUGCUCAUUUCUUCUAUCUCUAAAGAACCGGCUGUGUCUCCUAGAGCUUGGGUAAUAGAUUCAGGGGCUACUCAUCAUGUUACACACAAUAGAAGCCUUUAUAUAGAUUUUAGAGCCUUAGACAAUACCUUUGUAAGACUCCCUAAUGAUUGUACCGUUAGAAUAGUGGGCAUAGGAUACAUUAAGCUAUCUGAUGCAAUCUCUCUCCACAAUGUGCUUUAUAUUCCUGAGUUUAAAUUUAACUUGAUCAGUGUCAGUGUUUUAACAAAGACUUUAAAAUCGAAAGUUAGCUUUACAUCUGAUGAAUGUUUUGUUCAGGAACUUACACAGGAGUUAAUGAUUGGAAAAGGUAGUCAAGUUGGCAAUCUAUAUGUCUUGGAUUUCAAUGAGUCUAAUCAUUCUGUUUCUUUAAAAGGUACCAAUACUAUAUGCUCUGAAAUUUCUGUUUGUUCUUCUGUUGUUGUUGAUUCCUAUACAUGGCAUAAGAGAUUAGGUCACCCUGCUCAUUCAAAAGUUGAUUUGUUAUCUGAUGUUUUGAAUCUCAAAGAUAUAAAGAUAAAUAAAGACUCUUUACCUGUUUGUCAUGUCUGUCACUUGUCAAAACAGAAACAUUUAUCUUUUAAAUCUAGACAAAACAUGUGUAAAUCUGCAUUUGAUUUAGUUCAUAUAGAUACUUGGGGUCCAUUUUCUGUUCCUACUAUAGAUGGUUUUAAAUACUUCUUAACAAUUGUUGAUGAUUAUAGUAGAGCUACUUGGGUCUAUUUGCUAAAGAAUAAAUCAGAUGUUUUGCAUGUUUUUCCUAGUUUCAUUAAUAUGAUUCAAACGCAAUUUCAGAAGAAAGUUAAAUCGGUUAGAUCUGAUAAUGCACAUGAAUUAAAAUUCAAUGAUUUGUUUGCUGAAAAUGGAAUUAUUGCUUAUCAUUCAUGUCCUGAAACUCCAGAACAAAAUUCUGUGGUAGAGAGAAAGCAUCAACAUAUCUUAAAUGUUGCUAGAGCCCUCUUAUUUCAAUCCAAUAUUCCAUUAGAAUUCUGGGGUGAUUGUAUAUUAACAGCUGUGUUCUUAAUAAAUAGACUUCCCACACCUGUUUUGGCAAAUAAAUCUCCUUAUGAAAAGCUUACCAAUACGGCUCCUACUUAUGAAUCUUUAAAGACUUUUGGGUGUUUAUGUUAUAGUUCAACAUCCCCUAAGCAUAGAAAUAAGUUUGAACCUAGGGCUAGAGCUUGUGUUUUCUUAGGAUAUCCCACAGGUUAUAAAGGGUAUAAGCUAUUAGACAUAGAGACACAUGCCGUUUCUAUUUCAAGACAUGUCAUUUUUCAUGAGGAUAUUUUUCCUUUCUUAUCAUCUACUAUCACUGAUGAUAUGAAAGCUUUCUUUCCUCUAUUACAGUUUCCUGCCCAAACCGAUGAUUUGCCUCUUGUGCAAACAUCAAUUCCUGAUGCACAUCCCCAUCAAGAUGUGUCAUCCUCUAAGGCUUUGAUUCCUUCUGAGUCAAAGUCUACUAGACAAAAGAAACCCCCAAAACACUUGCAGGAUUUCCUUUGUUAUAAUAAUACUACUAGUAUUAAUCCUAAUAUACUCUAUCCAAUCACAAAUUAUGUUUCUUAUUCAUAUCUAGCUGAGCCUUUUCGUGCUUUCAUUAAUACCAUCACAAAUGAUAUAAUCCCACAAAGAUAUUCAGAGGCAAAAGACUUUGAUGUAUGGUGUACUGCUAUGAAGGAGGAGAUUGGUGCUAUGACAAGAACUCGCACAUGGAGUAUUUGUUGUUUGCCAGCGAAUAAGAAGGCUAUUGGUUGUAAGUGGGUCUUUACAAUCAAGUAUAAUGCAGAUGGAAGUAUAGAAAGAUACAAGGCGCGCUUAGUGGCAAAAGGUUAUACUCAACAAGAGGGUUUGGAUUAUGAGGAAACAUUCUCUCCUGUUGCCAAGUUAACUUCAGUGAGAAUGAUGUUAUUGUUGGCUGCUAAGUUGAGAUGGUCAAUUCAUCAGCUUGACAUUUCUAAUGCGUUCUUGAAUGGUGAUUUGGAUGAAGAGAUAUAUAUGAAGGUUCCCCCUGGUUAUGCAGAUCUUAUAGGAGAGGCUUUACCUCCUAAUGCUGUGUGUAGAUUGCACAAAUCCAUUUAUGGACUUAAACAAGCCUCGAGACAGUGGUUUCUCAAGCUUUCUGCAACUCUGAAGACCAUGGGAUUUGGGAAAUCUAAUGCUGAUCAUACUUUGUUUACCAAGUAUGUUGAUGGAGUUUUUCUUGGUGUUCUAGUCUACGUGGAUGAUAUCUUGAUUGUCAGUAAUAGUGAUGCUGCAGUGGCAGGAUUUAUAGAAGAACUGAAGAUGUUUUUCAAAUUAAGAGAUCUUGGUACAGCAAAGUACUUCCUUGGUUUGGAGAUAGCCAGAACUGAUGAAGGUAUUUCAAUUUGUCAGAGAAAAUACAUUUUGGAAUUGCUUUCUCUUACUGGUUUUCUUGGAAGUAAACCAUCUGCUGCGCCUAUGGAUCCAAGUGUGAAACUAAGGAAGGAUGUUGGAGUUCCUGUAAGUGAUCCAUCCGCAUAUCGAAAGCUGGUGGGGAAAUUGAUGUAUUUGCAGUUAACAAGACCAGAUAUUGCUUUUGCUGUCAAUACUUUAUGCCAAUUCUCACAUGAUCCAAGAGACAUUCAUUUGACUGCUGUGCAUAAAGUCUUGAGAUAUUUGAAGGGAACAGCAGGGCAGGGUCUGUUUUAUCCUGCAGAUGAUACAUUUGAUCUCCGAGGUUAUACUGAUGCUGAUUGGGGAACUUGUAAAAACAAUAGAAGAUCAGUUACUGGCUACUGCAUGUUCAUUGGUAACUCUCUGGUUUCUUGGCGUUCACAAAAGCAAGAUUCAGUUUCUAUGAGUUCUGCAGAGUCAGAGUUUAGAGCAAUGUCUUCUGGUACUAAGGAAAUGAUUUGGCUUUCUCGGCUUCUUAAUGACUUCAAAGUUCCUUUCAAGCCUCCUGCUUAUCUUUAUUGUGACAAUACUGCUGCAAUUCACAUUGCUAACAAUUCAGUAUUUCAUGAGAGAACAAAGCAUGUGGAACUUGAUUGUUACAAGACCAGGGAGCAGAUUGAUUCUGGUUUUCUUAAGACUAUGUAUGUGAAGACUGAAGAACAAUUAGCAGAUCCUUUAACCAAAGCAUUGUAUCCGGCACCAUUUCGGGAGCUUAUUGCCAAGAUGGGUGUUUGCAACAUCUAUGCACCACUGCCAUCUUGAGGGAGGCUAUUAGAAUCAUAUAGUUAGUCACAUGUUGAUAAUACUUGUAGAUAAUAGCUUACGGUUAAGGGCUCUGGAAUGUCCGGUUUAACCACCUAAAUAAUCAUCUAAUUAAGGUGAUUUCAUUGGUUUAAUUCUGGUUUAGUUGGUUUGUUCACUAUACAUUGUUGUAACAACCUUUCUUGAUCAUUAAUGAGAAUCAGAGAUUUCACCAUGUUUCUCUCUCGAUCCAUGGUUACUAAUAAUUCUAAAGUUUACUCGUCCCCAUAUCCCAAUCCUUGCCAUAAUUGAUUGAUGUCCCGCUGUCUCCAUGUUGUCCCGUUUCUGAAAUGUCCCCGGUCCGGGAAACGGCUACCAAUAGAAGUACCCAUCGUUCAAUUUGGUUGCAUGACUAGUACGUAGUUUUCACCCGAUUUCUAGUGUUCCUUAUUCUCUCGGUUUCAAAACUCUAGAAAGUUGUUAAGGGUUUUAUUACUACACUCUCAACUGAUUUCAUAUCAAUAUAUCUUGAUAAAUUAGAUAAAAUCAAUCAUACUCAAGGGAUGUUCCAGACGGCUGGCAACAAAUCUCGCGAGCUUGUGUGCCUAAUGUAGGAAAUGAGCAUCAAAUGAGAAGGCUACGUGGAGGACAAAGAUUGGUCGAAGCGGGUGAGACACGUGGCAGAAUAACAUUGGUUGGAGCUGGAGAAAGUUGUUAUGAAGACUCUUUAAAACGCAGUCUUUGCUUCUUUUCAUUAUUAUGCAAAAUCUGAGAUUGUAAUCUUCUUCUUCAUUUGGUUCUCUGUUGUUCCUGAGAAUUCUCUGUAAUUCUCAAGCUCUUCCUCAUCGUUUUGCUGGAUCUCUCUUUGAGACUCUUGCAGAUGAGAAGUGGUGCUGCGUUACUUGCGAAUGUUGUAUCCAUUUAUCCUUCUUUGUUUAUUUGAAAUCUAUUUGAUCUUCCUCACCCGAUUUACGUUAUCAGUGCCUAGAACACCGUAACUGCUUUCAUGAGAUUUUUUUAAGAAUUUGCAAUGUUGUUUUAUUUGAUUUACUAUGAUGUGUGGCGUGUAGGAACCAUAAACGUUUUCUUCUUUUGGCACAACAUACUUUCUCACACUUGUACAUUUAUCUCAUGCUUGAAAAAGUGAAAUAAUCUUGAUUCUCAAAGGUUUAUUGUCAUGGGGGAGAGCCAAUUUGACAAGAAAGUCUGAACUGUGUAAAAUGAUAAUGGUGCAGAGUUUAUGUGCAUACGAUUUGAUUUUGAAAAGGAAAAAAUCUUGCAUUGAACAUUGUGCGUCGACAAAAUAGAAAAGUUCAAAAAAUAAUGUCAUAUCUUAAAUGUAGUCAGGUCUUUGUCGAAUCAACCUCAUUUGUCGACACAAUUUGUUUUGUGGUGGGGGAGUGCGUCUUGGCUGCGGACCACUUGAUUAUUUGAGAGUCCCCCACUGAGUUAUUGAAGGAGAAGAUGUUGUAUUUGGAGUACACCACUGUUUGAGAGGCUACAUGAAUUUGGCUGUGUGAUUAUGUCAAUUUACUUAAUCAAAGUUAAGCGAAAUUGGGCUAGAAAUUGUAUCAUAUGGAGACGGGAGAUUUAUUUGUCUCGACUCAAGAGAUGAUAAGGAAACGAACUGUGAUUUUUUGUACCAAAUAAUUAUAGCUCAUUGGAGUUUUUGAUGAAAACUUUCUUGAGCCUUCUUAGCUCUUUGCCACAGCACCGACAAAUACAUGUGGAGUUCUCCAGGGACUUCACCUUUUGUGGUGACAAAUUAUAAUCACACGCGUUCAGAUUAUGAUUAUAUUCUUUAUACUAUUUCAUUUGUUCUAGAGUCCCUGCCUUGAACCAGUGCCAACGUCUUCAUUUUAGGUACGGUGUCUUAUCUUAUCUUAUCCGAUCUAAUCGUUUCUAUGCAAAACAUAUAUAUAGCUACUAUUGUUGGUUCAGAGCCUAGAUCAUACGCGGAGGAAGUUCUUCAUGGGUCUGGCAUGGCUGCUAAGAUAGAUGCUUUGAAGAAAAUGAUACAAGGACGCUUGAAGAACUAAUUAUAGCUUGGCUUGCAAUAAAGAAUCGCGGGAGAUAGAAUGCUAAGUUGGAAUGUCGGAGUAGGUCCCUUAUGUGUUUUCUGUCAUGAACCAUUGGAAAAGGAAAAAAUGAGAGAGAAGCUUCACAUAGUGAUUCUCAAAUAGGAUAGUGUUAUUAAAACUGAAGCCUUCUUGAUCUUGUCAAAUAAGCUAGAGACUGAAGAAAAACAACACACUUUUAUUAUUGUCGACCAAGGCCUCAUAUAUCCUGGUCAAUCACAAACUAAAAGAUCGGAAAGCAACAUUGAACAGAAAACCAAAUCCUCAAAAUAUAACUUAAAGCUCAUCCCUCUUGAUCGCGGAUGGACGAACACCUUGAGCUAGGAAAUCUUUGUAAUACUUGGCUGAUUCUUUCUCAUAACGUGUGAGGUUAUUUUUGAAAUCGACGUAAUAGAGUCCGAAUCUAUUAUUAUAACCAUCUUGCCAUUCAAAGUUAUCCAACAAUGACCAUACAAAGUAUCCCGUAACUCUCACCUUGUCGAUGCUGCGCAUACACAAAUUAAAUGUUCCUAGUUAGAUCAUUCAAUAGAAUUGUUAGUCUAUCAAAUAACAAAUAAUAAAAUGCUUACCAAAUAGCCUCGUUCAUAGCCAGAAGAUGCCUCUGAAGAUAAUAUUUCCUGUUAUGAUCAGCAGUACCAACCUCAACCGAAUCUUUGUCCCUUAGUUUAUCUCCAUAUCCUAGAAAAACAACAUUAAGAUCAAUAUAUAUUACUCUUAACCAAAAUCAUCAACACACAAAUAUAACAAUAAAUCUCGAGUUACCAUUUUCCAUGAUCAUAAUUUCGGGGUUUGCGUAUUUAUCCUUGAUGUACUUUAAAAGACUUCUAAAACCUUUAGCGUAGACGGGCAACGCAGCAGUAAGAGGCUGAAAUAAAACAAUGGAGAAAUGUAUAUUAAUGGUUAUUUGUUACAACAAUCUCAAACUAGGACUAGUUUAAUUAAACGCUUAAUUACCUGACUACCAAUGGCGCUGUGGUCGACAUUCUUAGCUGAAAAAUUUAAAGUGAAAAUGUAUACAUAUCAAUUAGUAUUAAUUAGGAAGUUCAAAAGAGGAACAAACAUUUUUUUCUUUUAGUUUCUUGGUUUGGUUUCAUGUAAGGAAAAAAAAAAACUUACGUUCCCAGGCAACAAGAGAAUCUUGCUUCCAACUUGGUGUAGACGGAUCUGGCUUCUCAUUAUGGUUUGAAAAUGUUGAAGUAUAGUAGUUAAGUCCUACGAAAUCGGUCGAAUCUUUCAAUUUUGCUUUUUGCGCAUUCGUAAAUUUAGGCAAUCUGUGGCCAAGAAGGUCUUUCAUGAUUUGUGGAUAAUCUCCAAAAGUAGUUGGGUCUAGAUGCCUACAAAUAAUAAUCAGAACUCCAUUAAUUAAAUUAAUGAAACUAUACUAUACGAGAACUCAUUGUCUAACAAAAUAUAUACUUACCAUCCCAACAUAAAGUCAAGUACACGGCCGACAGUUGGAGUGUCAUUUGAAUCUUUAAGGUCAUGUGGUUCGAACCAAGCCGGACUAUGUGCGAUUCCGAUUUUCCCACCUUUAACCUAUGUCCAUAAACACAACACAAAACAAACUAUUUUCAAAUCCGAAAGCUGAUAAUUAAUUGUGAUUUAUAUCAAAUGUAACUUACCUUUUGGCGGAAAACUUCAACAGCUUCUGCGUGAGCGUUGAGGAGGUUGUGACUGACUAGAUAAGCCUCAUAACCGGAUCGUCCAUCUCGGUCUUCGCAACCUUUAACGUAACGAGAACAACGUCCUGGUGCCUUCUUGCCUACGUCGUAACCUGCAUGAGCGAAGACCCAUGGCUCGUUGAAAGUGAUCCAGUUUUUCACUUUUCCACCGUAUUCUGUGAAAACAAAAUCUGCAUAUUCCCGGAAAUCUUUUCUGUAUUUUUGCAAAAAAAAAAAGAUAUUAAGUUAAUAAAUUCUACUUGGACUGUCCGAGAAACUUAAUGUAUUUCGUUUAAUUUACAAAAACAUACACAAUGUUUUGGCUUAAGAAACCGCCAUAUUCGUCUUCUAAAUCUUGUGGAGUGUCCCAAUGAAAAACAGUCACGGAAGGAAGUAUGCCUGGUUACAAUGUAAAAUAGAAAGAAAUGUUAAAUAAUGAUACCUUUUUGCUUCUUUUUUUGUUAAGUAAUUAGUUUAGAUGUAUACUAACCAUUUUUUAGGAGCUCAUCGAUGACAUCGUGGUAGAAUUUCACACCAGAUUGACUCACUCCCUUCUCCUUUCUUCCAUCUAAUAAAACAUUAGUUGUUUCAUUAGUUAUUGAUAUUUCAACAAUCACAUAAAUCUAAAUUCACCAAAUUCAGAUUAUAAAUUAAACUAGAGAUCUUUAGCACAUAUAUAUACUCACGAGGAAAUAUUCUUGACCAUGAGAUUGAGAGUCUGAAUGCGUCUGUGUUUAGAUUCUUCAUUAGUUGAAUAUCUUCCUACAAACAUUUUUCAAGACAAGACAAAUUUUCAUUAACAUCUCCUAUAAAAUGGACAAGGCUAUAGAAACUUAAAUUAAAGUUACAUUAAUAAUAUACCUUAUAACGAUGGAAGAAAUCAACGGCCACAUCGGCGUUGUGGCCACUACAUCUCUCUGUAAUUUAAAAAAAGUGAAUGACUAUUCAUUGAUAUUAAUAAGUUAGUUUAAUUUAAUAUCUAAACAUAGAUUAUACGAGCACUCACCUGGAUUUCUCCUACAAAAGAUAUCCCAUAGAGCCGGUCCACGGCAAGUUUCAUUAAUUGCACCUUCAACCUAAUGACAUAACGAAAAUAGUUGAUGAGUUGAUGAAAUAUUCACAUGCACCAAUGAUCUUAGUUGAUAGGUUUUAUCACAUAUUUCGAGCAUGAAAACUUUUAUAUAAAAAUUCAUAUUUAGAUGGCUAAACAAUAUUAACGAUACUUUUUUUUUUUUUUUUUUUAAGCUAUGCUUUAGUAAAUAUGUUGUACCUGAAACGCAGCAGUAGCCGUGCCAAACAAAAAACCGUUAGGGAAACUUGCUCGGCUUAGUUUGGACGUAGUCGGGCAAACAGGAUCAUCGACGGCUAUUGUCGAAGAGACGACGAUGGUUAGGAGCAAAAGCAGCCCCAUGAGAGGAAACUUUUGCAAUGCCAUUUUGGUUUUAAUGUUUUGUCUUGUUGAAAAAAAUAAGUUUAUGGUGACUGUUAAUUUACAUCUAAAACGGAGUUCUUUAUAUAGAGAUUUUGAUUGUUUGGUAAUGAGUGACUAAACUAUAAUUGUUUAGUAAAAUUAUUUUUUAAAUAGAAUGAUUCAUUGCAUAAUCUCGAUCAUUGUGUUCUUGCUUUCUUUGAAACAUAUUAUAUUAUGCGUGGGAUGUAUAAUAUAAAAACGUGUCUUUAAAUAAAUAGUGUUAUGUCCAAAAAAUAAAGUUCUCAAUCUUUUGUUGCAUCUGCUUCUAAAUAAUAUGGCUCAAUUUUUACUGGCUAAGAUAAGUCUACUUCAAAACUCCGGCAGUAUAAAGUACGAUGAUCUCCUCAUACUUUGGUUUAUGCAUAACUGAUGACUUGAUGUAUAUAAUAAAGAAUUUUUUGAUGAAUAAAAUUUCAAAUUCAUUCCAAAAAAAAAAAUAUUAAGGCUCAAUUUUCUAUAUUCGAAUAGUAUCAUUCAACUCAUUUCUCUGUAAAUUAGUAGAUGAAUGAAUUUAAAAUUGAGCCUUAUAUUUCCUUUAUGAUUUGUACAUUUUUCUACUCUUUUUAGUUGAAUCAAUUAAAUUAUUUUUCCAACUUAUUCAGUUCAAGUGGUAAAAGAUUUUUUUUUUUUGGUAUGAAGUUCAAGUGGUAAAAGAUUAAUAAAUGUUCAUUCAACUCUUUCAGUUUUUUUUUUUUUUUUUUUUAAAUUUAAAUCAACCAUUUUUAAUCCCAUAUAAAUUGUUUUGUAGUUCACAGUAGCUAAUCAAACAUCUAAUGUCUUCUUUUUGAUAUGCCAACCAGGCUUCGUUAAUCUUUUUUUUUUUUUUUUAAUUUUGUAUUGUAUAGAUCCAGAUCG
Molecule: long non-coding RNA, 21385 nt
Filed under: Arabidopsis lyrata
Lineage: Eukaryota; Viridiplantae; Streptophyta; Magnoliopsida; Brassicales; Brassicaceae
Description: long non-coding RNA (ALYR_LNC002778)
Source: RNAcentral